Molecule: ribosomal RNA, 726 nt
Filed under: Oceanobacillus sp.
Lineage: Bacteria; Bacillati; Bacillota; Bacilli; Caryophanales; Bacillaceae
Description: bacterial SSU rRNA
Rfam family: Bacterial small subunit ribosomal RNA
Source: RNAcentral
UGAGCGGCGGACGGGUGAGUAACACGUGGGCAACCUGCCUGUAAGACUGGGAUAACCCCGGGAAACCGGGGCUAAUACCGGAUAAUACUUUCUUUUGCAUAAAGGAAAGUUGAAAGGCGGCUUCGGCUGUCACUUACAGAUGGGCCCGCGGCGCAUUAGCUAGUUGGUGAGGUAACGGCUCACCAAGGCGACGAUGCGUAGCCGACCUGAGAGGGUGAUCGGCCACACUGGGACUGAAACACGGCCCAGACUCCUACGGGAGGCAGCAGUAGGGAAUCUUCCGCAAUGGACGAAAGUCUGACGGAGCAACGCCGCGUGAGUGAUGAAGGUUUUCGGAUCGUAAAACUCUGUUGUUAGGGAAGAACAAGUUGGAUAGUAACUGACCCAACCUUGACGGUACCUAACCAGAAAGCCACGGCUAACUACGUGCCAGCAGCCGCGGUAAUACGUAGGUGGCAAGCGUUGUCCGGAAUUAUUGGGCGUAAAGCGCUCGCAGGCGGUCCUUUAAGUCUGAUGUGAAAUCUCGCGGCUCAACCGCGAACGGUCAUUGGAAACUGGAGGACUUGAGUACAGAAGAGGAGAGUGGAAUUCCACGUGUAGCGGUGAAAUGCGUAGAGAUGUGGAGGAACACCAGUGGCGAAGGCGACUCUCUGGUCUGUAACUGACGCUGANGAGCGAAAGCGUGGGGAGCGAACAGGAUUAGAUACCCUGGUAGUCCACGCCGUA